Molecule: ribosomal RNA, 161 nt
Filed under: Pseudopodospermum semicanum
Lineage: Eukaryota; Viridiplantae; Streptophyta; Magnoliopsida; Asterales; Asteraceae
Description: Scorzonera semicana 5.8S ribosomal RNA
Rfam family: 5.8S ribosomal RNA
About the family: 5.8S ribosomal RNA (5.8S rRNA) is a component of the large subunit of the eukaryotic ribosome. It is transcribed by RNA polymerase I as part of the 45S precursor that also contains 18S and 28S rRNA. Functionally, it is thought that 5.8S rRNA may be involved in ribosome translocation.
Source: RNAcentral
AAAAGACUUUUGGCAACGGAUAUCUUGGCUCACGCAUCGAUGAAGAACGUAGCAAAAUGCGAUACCAGGUGUGAAUUGCAGAAUCCCGUGAACCAUAGAGUUUUUGAAAGCAAGUUGUGCCCAAAGCCAUCCGGUGGAGGGCACGUCUGCCUGGGCGUCAC